RNAcentral lists this long non-coding RNA (453 nucleotides) under Serinus canaria (Common canary). Its description in RNAcentral is "lncRNA (ENSSCAG00000001133.1)". The record is from RNAcentral. Lineage: Eukaryota; Metazoa; Chordata; Aves; Passeriformes; Fringillidae.
CUCAUUUGUCUUUUCUAUUUUUCUGUCACCAUAACUGUGAUGUUUGAGGACAGCUGGUGUCCUCAGAGCUAAGCCAUCCUGUGUUUGUUUGUUCCAUAUAAGUCUGGAGACUGAGCCAGCGAGGGUGGCAGUGCAGCCAAACUUGGAGUGCAGAGCCUUGUUCCUAAUGCCCUGACAACAGGGCUUUCAAGCAAUGCACUGGCACCAAACCUGCAGCAGAGAGUGGUACCCUGGGCUUCAUCUUACAGAAUGCACAGGAAGGAGGAAAAUGUACAUUUUGCCUCAGCAGCUGCUCAUCACCGCCUUUAUAAUUCAGUUCUGCACUACAUUGGAAAUGUUGCAUCCCCAGGCUUGGAAAUGUCUCUGACCAAAGAGAGGUGCUCAGAGGAGAGAAGGAAGCUUAAUGAGAUACAGUGCCUAGUCUGGUAAGUCUCCAUGUGACUCCUUGUGUUG